This 901-nucleotide ribosomal RNA is filed under the name uncultured Verrucomicrobiota bacterium. RNAcentral describes it as "bacterial SSU rRNA". It matches the Rfam family "Bacterial small subunit ribosomal RNA", at positions 36 to 916 of the family's 1533-position model. Lineage: Bacteria; Pseudomonadati; Verrucomicrobiota. The record is from RNAcentral.
CCCGUGGCGGCGUGCAAGACAUGCAAGUCGACGGGGUCAUAUGAGAUUAUAUCAAGUGUGGUCCAGUGGCGGACGGGUGCGUAACACGUGAACAAUCUGCCGGAAGGAAGGGGAUAGCCCAUGGAAACGUGGAUUAAUACCCUGUGUGGCCCCAGCAGGCAUCUGCUGGAGGCUAAACGUGGCGCAAGCUGCGGCCUUCCGAUGAGUUCGCGGCCUAUCAGCUUGUUGGCGGGGUAACGGCCCACCAAGGCGAUGACGGGUAGCUGGUCUGAGAGGAUGACCAGCCACACUGGAACUGAGACACGGUCCAGACACCUACGGGUGGCAGCAGUCGAGAAUCAUUCACAAUGGGCGAAAGCCUGAUGGUGUGACGCCGCGUGGAGGAUGACGGUCUUCGGAUUGUAAACUCCUGUCAUGUGAGAGUAAGUUCCAGGGAGUAACUGCCCGUGGAAUUGAGAGUAUCACAAGAGGAAGAGGCGGCUAACUCUGUGCCAGCAGCCGCGGUAAUACAGAGGCCUCAAGCGUUGUUCGGAAUCACUGGGCGUAAAGGGUGCGUAGGCGGCGCGGAAAGUCAGGGGUGAAAUCCCGGAGCUCAACUCCGGAACUGCCCUUGAUACUCCCGCGCUUGAGAACUGGAGGGGACAUCGGAAUUCACGGUGGAGCAGUGAAAUGCGUGGAUAUCGUGAGGAACACUAGUGGCGAAGGCGGAUGUCUGGACAGUAUCUGACGCUGAGGCACGAAGGCCAGGGGAGCGAACGGGAUUAGAUACCCCGGUAGUCCUGGCAGUAAACGGUGCACGCUUGGUAUGGGGGGAAUCGACCCCUCCCGUGCCGGAGCUAACGCGAUAAGUAUGCCGCCUGGGAAGUACGGUCGCAAGAUUAAAACUCAAAGGAAUUGACGG